Non-coding RNA from Drosophila ficusphila, 86 nucleotides. NCBI's taxonomy places the organism in Eukaryota, Metazoa, Arthropoda, Insecta, Diptera, Drosophilidae. The record is from Rfam.
GGCAAUGAUGAACAAACCUGAAGGAGUGGGCAGCUGGCAACAGUUGGCCUACGCAUGACCAUCAACUAAUCUUCUCGCUGAUAGCA